AUCGAUGAAGAACGCAGCGAAAUGCGAUAAGUAAUGUGAAUUGCAGAAUUCAGUGAAUCAUCGAAUCUUUGAACGCACAUUGCGCCCCCUGGCAUUNCGGGGGGCAUGCCUGUUCGAGCGUCAUUACACCAAUCACGCCUGGCGUGGUAUUGGGCGACGGGGUCAACCCCCGCGCCUCAAAUGUUCCGGCGAGACCGACCGAAUCUCAGCGUUGUGCAAACGAGUCGCUGGCGAGACGAGAGGGCUGUGCCGUUAAACACCCCCAUCACAGGUUGACCUCGGAUCAGGUAGGGAUACCCGCUGAACUUAAGCAUAUCAAUAAGCGGAGGAAAAGAAACCAACAGGGAUUGCCCUAGUAACGGCGAGUGAAGCGGCAACAGCUCAAAUUUGAAAUCUGGCGCAAGCCCGAGUUGUAAUUUGCAGAGGAUGCUUCGAGGCACCGGCCGGUCUAAGUUCCUUGGAACAGGACGUCAUAGAGGGUGAGAAUCCCGUAUGUGACCGGCUAGGACUUCACACGUAGCUCCUUCGACGAGUCGAGUUGUUUGGGAAUGCAGCUCUAAAUGGGAGGUAAAUUUCUUCUAAAGCUAAAUACCGGCCAGAGACCGAUAGCGCACAAGUAGAGUGAUCGAAAGAUGAAAAGCACUUUGGAAAGAGAGUUAAAAAGCACGUGAAAUUGUUGAAAGGGAAGCGCUUGCAACCAGACUUGUCGGCGGUGUUCCGCCGGGCUUCUGCCCGGUUCACUCGCCGUCGACAGGCCAACAUCAUCUGGGGUCGCCGGAUAAAGGUUCGAGGAAUGUAGCUCCCCUCGGGGAGUGUUAUAGCCUCUUGCACAAUACGGCGCGCCCCGGGUGAGGUCCGCGCUUCGGCAAGGAUGUUGGCGUAAUGGUCGUAANCGGCCCGUCUUGAAACACGG
Molecule: ribosomal RNA, 913 nt
Filed under: uncultured Ascomycota
Lineage: Eukaryota; Fungi; Ascomycota
Description: eukaryotic LSU rRNA
Rfam family: Eukaryotic large subunit ribosomal RNA (bases 274-913)
Source: RNAcentral